UACGUAGGGUGCAAGCGUUGUCCGGAAUUAUUGGGCGUAAAGGGCUCGUAGGCGGUCUGUCACGUCGGGAGUGAAAACUCGGGGCUUAACCCCGGGCCUGCAGUGGGUACGGGCUGACUAGAGUGCGGUAGGGGAGACUGGAAUUCCUGGUGUAGCGGUGAAAUGCGCAGAUAUCAGGAGGAACACCGGUGGCGAAGGCGGGUCUCUGGGCCGUAACUGACGCUCAUGCACGAAAGCGUGGGGAGCAAACAGG
RNAcentral lists this ribosomal RNA (253 nucleotides) under uncultured bacterium. RNAcentral's name for it is "partial 16S ribosomal RNA". It matches the Rfam family "Bacterial small subunit ribosomal RNA", at positions 524 to 776 of the family's 1533-position model. The record is from RNAcentral.